Molecule: ribosomal RNA, 495 nt
Filed under: Phoma sp. Vi-26
Lineage: Eukaryota; Fungi; Ascomycota; Dothideomycetes; Pleosporales; Didymellaceae
Description: eukaryotic LSU rRNA
Rfam family: 5.8S ribosomal RNA (bases 72-225)
Source: RNAcentral
AUCCAUGCGCCGACUGGACAAUUUAAACCCUUUGCAGUUGCAAUCAGCGUCUGAAAAAACUUAAUAGUUACAACUUUCAACAACGGAUCUCUUGGUUCUGGCAUCGAUGAAGAACGCAGCGAAAUGCGAUAAGUAGUGUGAAUUGCAGAAUUCAGUGAAUCAUCGAAUCUUUGAACGCACAUUGCGCCCCUUGGUAUUCCAUGGGGCAUGCCUGUUCGAGCGUCAUUUGUACCUUCAAGCUCUGCUUGGUGUUGGGUGUUUGUCUCGCCUCUGCGUGUAGACUCGCCUCAAAACAAUUGGCAGCCGGCGUAUUGAUUUCGGAGCGCAGUACAUCUCGCGCUUUGCACUCAUAACGACGACGUCCAAAAGUACAUUUUUACACUCUUGACCUCGGAUCAGGUAGGGAUACCCGCUGAACUUAAGCAUAUCAAUAAGCGGAGGAAAAGAAACCAACAGGGAUUGCCCUAGUAACGGCGAGGGAAGCGGCAACCUAGG